CGGAAAAAGAGGAGUGGCGAACGGGUGAGUAACACGUGGGUAACCUGCCCAUCAGAAGGGGAUAACACUUGGAAACAGGUGCUAAUACCGUAUAACAAUCAAAACCGCAUGGUUUUGAUUUGAAAGGCGCUUUCGGGUGUCGCUGAUGGAUGGACCCGCGGUGCAUUAGCUAGUUGGUGAGGUAACGGCUCACCAAGGCCA
This 201-nucleotide ribosomal RNA is filed under the name Enterococcus faecium. RNAcentral's name for it is "partial 16S ribosomal RNA". It matches the Rfam family "Bacterial small subunit ribosomal RNA", at positions 82 to 276 of the family's 1533-position model. Lineage: Bacteria; Bacillati; Bacillota; Bacilli; Lactobacillales; Enterococcaceae. The record is from RNAcentral.